CUCGUGUCGUGAGAUGUUCGGUUAAGUCCGGCAACGAGCGCAACCCACACCCUUAGUUGCCAGCAUUCAGUUGGGCACUCUAGGGGAACUGCCCGUGAUAAGCGGGAGGAAGGUGUGGAUGACGUCAAGUCCUCAUGGCCCUUACGGGUUGGGCUACACACGUGCUACAAUGGCAUCAACAAUGGGUUAAUCCCUAAAAGAUGUCUCAGUUCGGAUUGGGGUCUGCAACUCGACCCCAUGAAGUCGGAAUCGCUAGUAAUCGCGUAACAGCAUGACGCGGUGAAUACGUUCCCGGGCCUU
This 300-nucleotide ribosomal RNA is filed under the name uncultured bacterium. Its description in RNAcentral is "bacterial SSU rRNA". It matches the Rfam family "Bacterial small subunit ribosomal RNA", at positions 1059 to 1382 of the family's 1533-position model. The record is from RNAcentral.